CUUCUCUCCCCACCCCCUCACUUAUCUCUUCGAUUCGGUGCAGGAGCCACCGUCCUCCAUGGACGAGGACGACCACCAUGCACCGCAGAUGGUCGAGCUCGCCGUCGUCUUCUCCGAUGCGGUGCUGGGCCAACGACCUCCAACUCCACGGCUCAUAGCUUGGGUAAGCACUUCCUGUCGGAGGGGUGCAUCAUGCCCAAGCAGGAAGCGCUGCAGGCGUACCAAUUGUCUCUGCGGCAACACCUAACGAUGACGCCAUCGCUUACUGAAUAUUGUGCAGGCUGCUAAACACAGUAGCACUAUGGUGGGGAUUAAUAGCCGGCGCUGUACAGGGAGGCGCUUGAUGUCAGGUCCCAGUCUCUGAAACUCUGAAGAAUUGAUACCUUCAGGCUUGCUACUUAAUUCUCAAAAAAAAUCGUGCGUUCACAUCACCAUCCUGUGGAACCACGAGGCCUGAUCCAGUGAUUUCAGAGAACAUUUACUAUGUUUAUGGAUCACUACAUGUUCUGCUGGAACAAGGUUCAAUACUUUUUCUGGUUUCAACAACAAGAAGACAACUACUCACUGCUCUCAACAAGAACCACACAAGCGGAUCAUCUAACAUAACCUGUUUGAGGGAAGGUAUGUCGUCCUUUGGUUUCUACUUUAGCUAGUUCUCUUGCUAUCAAAGGUUGUAUUCAUAAUUUCUCCUUCGACUGGAAAAUACUACAAGAUGAAUGAUUUAAUGUAUUAUGAAUUCUUCU
Molecule: long non-coding RNA, 743 nt
Organism: Triticum aestivum (bread wheat)
Lineage: Eukaryota; Viridiplantae; Streptophyta; Magnoliopsida; Poales; Poaceae
Exons: 3
Source: RefSeq, a predicted model, not a curated record